RNAcentral lists this small RNA (104 nucleotides) under Leptotrichia sp. oral taxon 215 str. W9775. RNAcentral describes it as "Clostridioides difficile sRNA included into helicase gene". It matches the Rfam family "Clostridioides difficile sRNA included into helicase gene". From Rfam's summary of the family: This element was identified by RNA deep sequencing of Clostridioides difficile 630 where it is located within gene CD0749 (putative DNA helicase, UvrD/REP type) in the same direction as the gene. A strong transcription start site for this RNA was experimentally confirmed, in the 3' region of gene CD0749. The record is from Rfam by way of RNAcentral. Lineage: Bacteria; Fusobacteriati; Fusobacteriota; Fusobacteriia; Fusobacteriales; Leptotrichiaceae.
AACUUUGAUACUUCUGAAGAUGAAAUUGAAGAAGAAAGAAGACUUUGUUAUGUUGCUAUAACAAGGGCAAAAAAAGAACUUUAUCUUUCCCACGUUUCAGAAAG